Molecule: ribosomal RNA, 220 nt
Filed under: uncultured bacterium
Lineage: Bacteria
Description: partial 16S ribosomal RNA
Rfam family: Bacterial small subunit ribosomal RNA
Source: RNAcentral
GAUCAUGGCUCAGGACGAACGCUGGCGGCGUGCCUAAUACAUGCAAGUAGGACGCACAGUUUGUACCGUAGCUUGCUACACCAUAGACUGUGAGUUGCGAACGGGUGAGUAACGCGUAGGUAACCUACCUAUUAGAGGGGGAUAACUAUUGGAAACGAUAGCUAAUACCGCAUAACAGUAUGUAACACAUGUUAGAUGCUUGAAAGAUGCAAUUGCAUCG